ACUAGCUAGGUGUUUUGCAUUUUAAUUUUUCGUAUUAAGGGUGGUAUAUUAUGCCAGUUAGUA
Molecule: transfer RNA, 63 nt
Filed under: Dactylogyrus lamellatus
Lineage: Eukaryota; Metazoa; Platyhelminthes; Monogenea; Dactylogyridea; Dactylogyridae
Description: tRNA-Glu
Source: RNAcentral